Leptopilina boulardi is the source of this 698-nucleotide long non-coding RNA. RefSeq lists it as uncharacterized. The record is from RefSeq and is a predicted model, not a curated record. The transcript is spliced from 3 exons. NCBI's taxonomy places the organism in Eukaryota, Metazoa, Arthropoda, Insecta, Hymenoptera, Figitidae.
AGCUCCUUGUGCAACACACAUUAUUGUGACUCCAAACAUUCAACAUCUCAAAUAUUGAAUAAAGAAAUUCUAAUAAUUUUUCUUUUCUUUUACUAAAAAAAAAAAUAUCUCAUUUUUCUUCAUAAAUAAAAAAUUUUCCAACCAAAUUACGCGUAAAAGUGUCGAGUGAUUAAACGAAAGAGACAAGGAUUAUAAAAAAAAUGACGGUUUUAACAUUCGUACUGUCAUUUAUUUGUCUGAUGAGUGUACUUUCAAAUGGUUCAACAUUACCGGCAAAUAAAGAAGCAAAAAAAAAUUUCGAAUCAGAAGAAUAUACAAGAGGCUCAGAAGAGGAUAGUAAAAUUGAAAUGGAUUCAUUGGAAGAUAAAAAAUUAUUAAAAUCACAAGAAACAGAUAAAAUAAGUCGAUCAAAGCGUUGGUUGGUCCAAUCGACAUCGACGACAAGUCAAAAUCCAGAAUUUGUUUAUAAACCAUGGCUUUUUGCUGUUUAAUUUUUGUCACAAUGACGCAAAUGGAAAAAAAUAUAUUGUUUUACAUAAAUAAUUUUGUCAGUUUUUAUAGGAAAUAUUUUAAAAGGAACAAAAUUUAAUUUUUAUAUUUUUUUAAUUUUAAAGUUGUUUUACAAUCAUAAAGAAAAAUAUCGAAGGCUAUAUAAUUUCUAUAUCUGUAGUGUAUAUAUGAUAAAAUAAUUUAUUUGU